This 253-nucleotide ribosomal RNA is filed under the name uncultured bacterium. Its description in RNAcentral is "partial 16S ribosomal RNA". It matches the Rfam family "Bacterial small subunit ribosomal RNA", at positions 524 to 776 of the family's 1533-position model. The record is from RNAcentral.
GACGAACCGUGCGAACGUUGUUCGGAAUCACUGGGCUUAAAGGGCGCGUAGGCGGGCGGUCAAGUCAGAGGUGAAAUCCCACGGCUCAACCGUGGAAGUGCCCCUGAUACUGAUCGUCUCGAGGGAGGUAGGGGCGUGCGGAACUUCCGGUGGAGCGGUGAAAUGCGUAGAUAUCGGAAGGAACACCGAUGGCGAAAGCAGCGCGCUGGACCUCUACUGACGCUGAGGCGCGAAAGCCAGGGGAGCAAACGGG